AGCGUACACGGUGGAUGCCCUGGCAGUCAGAGGCGAUGAAGGACGUGCUAAUCUGCGAAAAGCGCCGGUAAGGUGAUAUGAACCGUUACAGCCGGCGAUGUCCGAAUGGGGAAACCCAGUGCAAUUCGUUGCACUAUCUCAGCAUGAAUACAUAGUGCUGUGAGGCGAACCGGGGGAACUGAAACAUCUAAGUACCCCGAGGAAAAGAAAUCAACCGAGAUUCCCCCAGUAGCGGCGAGCGAACGGGGAACAGCCCAGAGCCUGAAUCAGCUUGUGUGUCAGUGGAACGGUCUGGAAAGGCCGGCGAUACAGGGUGACAGCCCCGUACACGAAGGCACACAGGCUGUGAGCUCGAUGAGUAGGGCGGGACACGUGAUAUCCUGUCUGAAGAUGGGGGGACCAUCCUCCAAGGCUAAAUACUCCUGACUGACCGAUAGUGAACCAGUACCGUGAGGGAAAGGCGAAAAGAACCCCGGCGAGGGGAGUGAAACAGAACCUGAAACCGUGUACGUACAAGCAGUGGGAGCCUUCGUAAGAGGGUGACUGCGUACCUUUUGUAUAAUGGGUCAGCGACUUAUAUUCUGUAGCAAGGUUAACCGUAUAGGGGAGCCGAAGGGAAACCGAGUCUUAACCGGGCGUUAAGUUGCAGGGUAUAGACCCGAAACCCGGUGAUCUAGCCAUGGGCAGGUUGAAGGUUGGGUAACACUAACUGGAGGACCGAACCGACUAAUGUUGAAAAAUUAGCGGAUGACCUGUGGCUGGGGGUGAAAGGCCAAUCAAACCGGGAGAUAGCUGGUUCUCCCCGAAAGCUAUUUAGGUAGCGCCUCGUGAACUCAUCUUCGGGGGUAGAGCACUGUUUCGGCUAGGGGGCCAUCCCGGCUUACCAACCCGAUGCAAACUACGAAUACCGAAGAAUGUUAUCACGGGAGACACACGGCGGGUGCUAACGUCCGUCGUGAAGAGGGAAACAACCCAGACCGCCAGCUAAGGUCCCAAAGUCAUGGUUAAGUGGGAAACGAUGUGGGAAGGCACAGACAGCCAGGAUGUUGGCUUAGAAGCAGCCAUCAUUUAAAGAAAGCGUAAUAGCUCACUGGUCGAGUCGGCCUGCGCGGAAGAUGUAACGGGGCUAAACCAUGCACCGAAGCUGCGGCAGCGACACUAUGUGUUGUUGGGUAGGGGAGCGUUCUGUAAGCCUGUGAAGGUGUGCUGUGAGGCAUGCUGGAGGUAUCAGAAGUGCGAAUGCUGACAUAAGUAACGAUAAAGCGGGUGAAAAGCCCGCUCGCCGGAAGACCAAGGGUUCCUGUCCAACGUUAAUCGGGGCAGGGUGAGUCGACCCCUAAGGCGAGGCCGAAAGGCGUAGUCGAUGGGAAACAGGUUAAUAUUCCUGUACUUGGUGUUACUGCGAAGGGGGGACGGAGAAGGCUAUGUUGGCCGGGCGACGGUUGUCCCGGUUUAAGCGUGUAGGUGUGUGUUCCAGGUAAAUCCGGUUCACUUUAACACUGAGGCGUGAUGACGAGGCACUACGGUGCUGAAGUAACAAAUGCCCUGCUUCCAGGAAAAGCCUCUAAGCAUCAGGUAACAUCAAAUCGUACCCCAAACCGACACAGGUGGUCAGGUAGAGAAUACCAAGGCGCUUGAGAGAACUCGGGUGAAGGAACUAGGCAAAAUGGUGCCGUAACUUCGGGAGAAGGCACGCUGACAUGUAGGUGAAGCCCCUGCGGGUGGAGCUGAAGUCAGUCGAAGAUACCAGCUGGCUGCAACUGUUUAUUAAAAACACAGCACUGUGCAAACACGAAAGUGGACGUAUACGGUGUGACGCCUGCCCGGUGCCGGAAGGUUAAUUGAUGGGGUUAUCGCAAGAGAAGCUCCUGAUCGAAGCCCCGGUAAACGGCGGCCGUAACUAUAACGGUCCUAAGGUAGCGAAAUUCCUUGUCGGGUAAGUUCCGACCUGCACGAAUGGCGUAAUGAUGGCCAGGCUGUCUCCACCCGAGACUCAGUGAAAUUGAACUCGCUGUGAAGAUGCAGUGUACCCGCGGCAAGACGGAAAGACCCCGUGAACCUUUACUACAGCUUGACACUGAACAUUGAGCCUUGAUGUGUAGGAUAGGUGGGAGGCUUUGAAGCGUGGACGCCAGUCUGCGUGGAGCCAACCUUGAAAUACCACCCUUUAAUGUUUGAUGUUCUAACCUGGCGCCCUAAUCGGGCGUGGGGACAGUGUCUGGUGGGUAGUUUGACUGGGGCGGUCUCCUCCCAAAGUGUAACGGAGGAGCACGAAGGUCAGCUAAUCCUGGUCGGACAUCAGGAGGUUAGUGCAAUGGCAUAAGCUGGCUUGACUGCGAGAGUGACGGCUCGAGCAGGUGCGAAAGCAGGUCAUAGUGAUCCGGUGGUUCUGUAUGGAAGGGCCAUCGCUCAACGGAUAAAAGGUACUCCGGGGAUAACAGGCUGAUACCGCCCAAGAGUUCAUAUCGACGGCGGUGUUUGGCACCUCGAUGUCGGCUCAUCACAUCCUGGGGCUGAAGUAGGUCCCAAGGGUAUGGCUGUUCGCCAUUUAAAGUGGUACGCGAGCUGGGUUUAGAACGUCGUGAGACAGUUCGGUCCCUAUCUGCCGUGGGCGCUGGAGAAUUGAGGGGGGCUGCUCCCAGUACGAGAGGACCGGAGUGGACGCAUCACUGGUGUUCGGGUUGUCAUGCCAAUGGCACUGCCCGGUAGCUAAAUGCGGAAGAGAUAAGUGCUGAAAGCAUCUAAGCACGAAACUUGCCCCGAGAUGAGUUCU
This 2773-nucleotide ribosomal RNA is filed under the name Cronobacter dublinensis. RNAcentral describes it as "bacterial LSU rRNA". It matches the Rfam family "Bacterial large subunit ribosomal RNA". The record is from RNAcentral. Lineage: Bacteria; Pseudomonadati; Pseudomonadota; Gammaproteobacteria; Enterobacterales; Enterobacteriaceae.